Molecule: ribosomal RNA, 440 nt
Filed under: uncultured bacterium
Lineage: Bacteria
Description: partial 16S ribosomal RNA
Rfam family: Bacterial small subunit ribosomal RNA
Source: RNAcentral
CCUACGGGUGGCAGCAGUGGGGAAUAUUGCACAAUGGGGGAAACCCUGAUGCAGCGACGCCGCGUGAGUGAAGAAGUAAUUCGUUAUGUAAAGCUCUAUCAGCAGGGAAGAAAAUGACGGUACCUGAGUAAUAAGCCCCGGCUAACUACGUGCCAGCAGCCGCGGUAAUACGUAGGGGGCAAGCGUUAUCCGGAUUUACUGGGUGGAAAGGGAGCGUAGACGGCAGUGCAAGUCUGGAGUGAAAUGCGGGGGCUCAACCCCCGGACUGCUCUGGAAACUGUACGGCUGGAGUGCAGGAGAGGUAAGUGGAAUUCCUAGUGUAGCGGUGAAAUGCGUAGAUAUUAGGAGGAACACCAGUGGCGAAGGCGGCUUACUGGACUGUAACUGACGUUGAGGCUCGAAAGCGUGGGGAGCAAACAGGAUUAGAUACCCUAGUAGUC